AGCGAACGCUGGCGGCAGGCCUAAUACAUGCAAGUCGAACGGCUCUUCGGAGCAGUGGCGGACGGGUGAGUAACGCGUGGGAACGUGCCCUUUGGUUCGGAACAACACAGGGAAACUUGUGCUAAUACCGAAUGUGCCCUUCGGGGGAAAGAUUUAUCGCCAUUGGAGCGGCCCGCGUUGGAUUAGCUAGUUGGUGGGGUAAUGGCCCACCAAGGCUGCGAUCCAUGGCUGGUCUGAGAGGAUGAUCAGCCACACUGGGACGGAGACACGGCCCAGCCUCCGACGGGGGGCGCCAGAAGGUAACCUAGCGGAGGGGGCAAAAGCCUGACGAAGCCAGGCCGCGUGAUGGAUAGAGGUGUUAGGAUGGUAAAUUUUUUCCACCGGGAAAUAAAAUGACGGUCCCCGGAGAAAAAGCCCCGCCUAACUUCUUGCCAGCAGCCGCCUAAA
This 447-nucleotide ribosomal RNA is filed under the name uncultured bacterium. RNAcentral's name for it is "partial 16S ribosomal RNA". It matches the Rfam family "Bacterial small subunit ribosomal RNA", at positions 29 to 523 of the family's 1533-position model. The record is from RNAcentral.